AACUGGGGGCACAGAACCAGAAAUGAACCAUUCGUUCAGAAUACAAACCACAUUCUGGAGGACUGCACCUCACAGGAUGCUACUUGAGCUGGUGCCUUUGCCAAACCUCUCUACUAUAUUCUAUAGUCCACUUUUCUACUUCAGCUGAUAUCAUACAUGGGUGUGUCUCCAUCUCCCGGCAGCAUGAGAUGAUGGAACCGAAUGUUUCAAUGACACCCGUGAAAGUGAAAGUGAGGGAAAUACGGCAUUGGGUACAUAAGAGAAAUGUGUCGUCCAGUUUCCAGACCAAACAGAAGCUUCUUCUAUAGAGUACUCAGAAGAGGAGUCUGCCUUAACUCUGGCCCCAGAGGGAAGAAAGAGCUGCCCACAAGACUGUGACUGCUCACGAUAUGGAGUCAGACCUCAAUGCCAAGGAGCGUGUACUGUGUUUCAUCUUAUCGUGAAUUUCAAUAAACAUGUAUGAUACAUCUGAAAUGUAAAAAGCAAUACCUGUUAGUGUGCGGCAACGUUGUACGUGACACCAUGCCAAUGGUUUAUCGUUAGGCAAAUCUCUAAUGGUAGUGCUGGAGUUGCUCUGUAGACAUAAAAGAAAAACCCAGAUGUCAAUUCUGGUAAGGAUGAUCAAGGAUGGACGAAGUCCAAUGCAGUGGAAUUGAAAUCAAGUGAUUGGCUCUUCUCCUCCAUGACGGUGCUACAUUGCCACUGGUGAUAGGCAUUCAGUAAUGGUAGCAGCUAGAUCAUUCUGGAUGAGAGAGAGCCCAUGCUGUAUAGCCCAUAUGUAGUCUUUAUCUCUGGCACAAUGGCCACAUCAUUCAUAACUCAUUGUGUCAGCACCACUCGGCUCAAUAAAUACGAUGAUUGACACAAGA
Herpailurus yagouaroundi (jaguarundi) is the source of this 869-nucleotide long non-coding RNA. RefSeq lists it as uncharacterized. The record is from RefSeq and is a predicted model, not a curated record. Lineage: Eukaryota; Metazoa; Chordata; Mammalia; Carnivora; Felidae. The transcript has 2 exons.